GACGAACGCUGGCGGCGUGCCUAAUACAUGCAAGUCGAGCGCAGGAAGCCGUCUGAACCCUUCGGGGGGACGACGGUGGAAUGAGCGGCGGACGGGUGAGUAACACGUAAAGAACCUGCCCAUAGGUCUGGGAUAACCACGAGAAAUCGGGGCUAAUACCGGAUGUGUCAUCGGACCGCAUGGUCCGCUGAUGAAAGGCGCUCCGGCGUCGCCCAUGGAUGGCUUUGCGGUGCAUUAGCUAGUUGGGGGGGUAACGGCCCACCAAGGCGACGAUGCAUGGCCGCACUGAGAGGGUGAUCGGCCACACUGGGACUGAGACACGGCCCAGACUCCUACGGGAGGCAGCAGUAGGGAAUCUUCCACAAUGGACGAAAGUCUGAUGGAGCAACGCCGCGUGAACGAUGAAGGCUUUCGGGUCGUAAAGUUCUGUUGUAAGGGAAGAACAAGUGCCGCAGGCAAUGGCGGCACCUUGACGGUACCUUGCGAGAAAGCCACGGCUAACUACGUGCCAGCCGCCGCCGUAA
This 524-nucleotide ribosomal RNA is filed under the name uncultured bacterium. RNAcentral describes it as "partial 16S ribosomal RNA". It matches the Rfam family "Bacterial small subunit ribosomal RNA", at positions 28 to 523 of the family's 1533-position model. The record is from RNAcentral.